This 781-nucleotide unclassified non-coding RNA is filed under the name Hevea brasiliensis (rubber tree). The record is from RNAcentral. Lineage: Eukaryota; Viridiplantae; Streptophyta; Magnoliopsida; Malpighiales; Euphorbiaceae.
GUGGAUUAACCCUAAAAUCUGCUCUAUCUAUCUCUAAGACUAAGGGGAUAUGUUUUCAAACCCCUGAAAGACCAGAUUCUGUACUUAGGCUUUUCAAGGAACAUGGAUUCACCAAUUCCCACAUCUCCAAAAUUGUUAAGAUCAGGCCCAAUGUGCUUUUACUACAUCCUGAAAGGACAAUUUUACCCAAACUUGAGUUUCUACGUUCUGUAGGGGUUUCAAGAUCAGACCUUUCUGUAAUUGUUUCUCAGAACCCAGAGUUGUUGAAUCGAAGUAUUAAGCAAAAUCUGAUCCCACAAUAUCAUAUCCUCAAAAGUAUACUCGUUUCUGAUGAGAAAGUAAUUAAAUGUUUGAAACGCUUGUUAAAAUCUUCUAUAGUGCAAUCGCAGAACGACUUUUUUUGCCAAUUUCUCACUUGUAAGAGUUCUUGGAAUUCCUCAAUCUUCCAUCUCUUUCUUGGUCACCUAUCAUCCCCAUAUUGUGUGCCUAAAAGCUUUCAAUUUUGCUGAAGGAGUUAAGAAAGUUAUUAAGACAGGAUUUGAUCCUUCAAAAUCUGCAUUUGUUCGGGCACUCCAAGUUUUGCUUGGAAUGACGCAGAAAACAUGGGAACACAAAAUUGAGGCUUAUAGGAGGUGGGGUUUAUCUGAAGAAGAGAUUUCGUCAAUUUUCAGAGAGAGUCCCUUAAGUAUGGGUCUGUCUGAAAAGAAAAUUAUGUGCAACAUGCAUUUUCUCGUGUGCAAGAUGGGUUGGCAGCCUUCUGCUGUUGCUAGAGUUCCAAUUG